AGUAAUUGUUCAUUCCAGUCUCUUCCCUCAACCGUGGCUGUUGGAUUUCUCUCUGAGCAAUCCUGCAGCUGCACACAGAGCUGCAGACUUCCCUUGUUUAAUCAUCAGACCAACAGCACUGCUUACAGCAGCCUGCAGCUGCAGAGCCUCUGCCCAUCACCAUUCCUUUGGCUGCUGCAGUGCUUUUCAGAAGCCCACGUCCAACCCCACGUGAGUAGCCUGAAGUCGUGGAUGUUCUACAUGACGGCCUCCAAUAGACCAACACAUUUUCUGUUCAGUGAGCACCUUCAGCCUGACACCUUUUCUGUUCAGUUCACAUAUGCCCAAGGCUUGGACAUGCGACCUCAUCUGGUUCUGGCAAAAGUUCAAACAUCACCCAUUGUAGAAGUAGGAAG
Molecule: long non-coding RNA, 395 nt
Organism: Gallus gallus (chicken)
Lineage: Eukaryota; Metazoa; Chordata; Aves; Galliformes; Phasianidae
Source: Ensembl